CCUGCAUGAAGUUGGAAUUGCUAGUAAUCGCGAAUCAGAAUGUCGCGGUGAAUACGUUCCCGGGCCCUUGUACACACCGCCCGUCACACCAUGAGAGUCGAUAACACCCGAAGCCUGUGAGCUAACCGUAAGGAGGCAGCAGUCGAAGGUGGGGUUGAUGAUUGGGGUGAAGUCGUAACAAGGUAGC
This 187-nucleotide ribosomal RNA is filed under the name uncultured bacterium. RNAcentral describes it as "partial 16S ribosomal RNA". It matches the Rfam family "Bacterial small subunit ribosomal RNA", at positions 1315 to 1500 of the family's 1533-position model. The record is from RNAcentral.